GGCCCUUCGGGGUACUCGAGUGGCGAACGGGUGAGUAACACGUGGGUGAUCUGCCCUGCACUUUGGGAUAAGCCUGGGAAACUGGGUCUAAUACCGAAUAUGACCACGCGCUUCAUGGUGUGUGGUGGAAAGCUUUUGCGGUGUGGGAUGGGCCCGCGGCCUAUCAGCUUGUUGGUGGGGUAAUGGCCUACCAAGGCGACGACGGGUAGCCGGCCUGAGAGGGUGACCGGCCACACUGGGACUGAGAUACGGCCCAGACUCCUACGGGAGGCAGCAGUGGGGAAUAUUGCACAAUGGGCGCAAGCCUGAUGCAGCGACGCCGCGUGAGGGAUGACGGCCUUCGGGUUGUAAACCUCUUUCAAUAGGGACGAAGCGCAAGUGACGGUACCUAUAGAAGAAGGACCGGCCAACUACGUGCCAGCAGCCGCGGUAAUACGUAGGGUCCGAGCGUUGUCCGGAAUUACUGGGCGUAAAGAGCUCGUAGGUGGUUUGUCGCGUUGUUCGUGAAAACUCACAGCUUAACUGUGGGCGUGCGGGCGAUACGGGCAGACUAGAGUACUGCAGGGGAGACUGGAAUUCCUGGUGUAGCGGUGGAAUGCGCAGAUAUCAGGAGGAACACCGGUGGCGAAGGCGGGUCUCUGGGCAGUAACUGACGCUGAGGAGCGAAAGCGUGGGGAGCGAACAGGAUUAGAUACCCUGGUAGUCCACGCCGUAAACGGUGGGUACUAGGUGUGGGUUUCCUUCCUUGGGAUCCGUGCCGUAGCUAACGCAUUAAGUACCCCGCCUGGGGAGUACGGCCGCAAGGCUAAAACUCAAAGGAAUUGACGGGGGCCCGCACAAGCGGCGGAGCAUGUGGAUUAAUUCGAUGCAACGCGAAGAACCUUACCUGGGUUUGACAUGCACAGGACGACUGCAGAGAUGUGGUUUCCCUUGUGGCCUGUGUGCAG
RNAcentral lists this ribosomal RNA (947 nucleotides) under Mycolicibacterium fortuitum. RNAcentral describes it as "bacterial SSU rRNA". It matches the Rfam family "Bacterial small subunit ribosomal RNA", at positions 74 to 1037 of the family's 1533-position model. The record is from RNAcentral. Lineage: Bacteria; Bacillati; Actinomycetota; Actinomycetes; Mycobacteriales; Mycobacteriaceae.